RNAcentral lists this unclassified non-coding RNA (240 nucleotides) under plant metagenome. Its description in RNAcentral is "partial contains small subunit ribosomal RNA and internal transcribed spacer 1". The record is from RNAcentral.
AAUGUCGUAACAAGGUCUCCGUUUGGUGAACCAGCGGAGGGAUCAUUUACCGAGUUUACAACUUCCCAAACCCACUGUGAAUCAUAGCCUACAAGUUGCUUCGGCGGAGCCGCCCCGGCGUCCCAGGAACGUCUGUUUCGCGGCCCGGAACCAGGUGCCCGCCGGUAGACCACAAAUCUCUUUUCGUAUUUGACAGUAUCUUCUUGAGUGUGCCGCAAGGCAACAAUCAAAUGAAUCAAA